CCUCACCUCUCCAGUCAGCAGGUAGAUGAUCUCCAUAAUGACAUUACCCAGAAUCCCUCACCUCUCCAGCCAGCAGGUAGAUGAUCUCCAUAAUGACAUUACCCAGAAUCCCUCACCUCUCUAGUCAGCAGGUAGAUGAUCUCCAUAAUGACAUUACCCAGAAUCCCUCACCUCUCCAAUCAGCAGGUAGAUGAUCUCCAUACUGACAUUACCCAGAAUCCCUCACCUCUCCAGUCAGCAGGUAGAUGAUCUCCAUAAUGACAUUACCCAGAAUCCCUCACCUCUCCAGCCAGCAGGUAGAUGAUCUCCAUAAUGACAUUACCCAGAAUCCCUCACCUCUUCAGCCAGCAGGUAGAUGAUCUCCAUACUGACAUUACCCAGAAUCCCUCACCUCUCCAGUCAGCAGGUAGAUGAUCUCCAUGGUGACAUUACCCAGAAUCCCUCACCUCUCCAGUCAGCAGGUAGAUG
Molecule: non-coding RNA, 468 nt
Organism: Pelobates cultripes (western spadefoot toad)
Lineage: Eukaryota; Metazoa; Chordata; Amphibia; Anura; Pelobatidae
Source: the annotation of a GenBank genome assembly